CCCUUAGAUGUUCUGGGCCGCACGCGCGCUACACUGAUGCAUUCAACGAGCCUAUCCUUGACCGACAGGUCCGGGUAAUCUUUGAAUCUGCAUCGUGACGGGGAUAGAUUAUUGCAAUUAUUAAUCUUCAACGAGGAAUGCCUAGUAGGCGCAAGUCAUCAGCUUGCGUCGAUUACGUCCCUGCCCUUUGUACACACCGCCCGUCGCUCCUACCGAUUGAAUGAUCCGAUGAAUACCAUGGAUUGAGAGUACGAAUGGGUUCGCUCAUUUCUGCUGCUCGAGAAGUGGAGUAAAUCUUAUCAUUUAGAGGAAGGAGAAGUCGUAACA
RNAcentral lists this ribosomal RNA (327 nucleotides) under uncultured eukaryote. RNAcentral's name for it is "partial 18S ribosomal RNA". It matches the Rfam family "Eukaryotic small subunit ribosomal RNA", at positions 1470 to 1796 of the family's 1831-position model. The record is from RNAcentral.